GCAAGUCGUGCGGACCCUAGGGAAAGCUUGCUUUCCCGAAAGGUUAGCGGCAGACGGGUGAGUAACACGUAGGUAAUCUGCCCUUGAGUGGGGAACAACCCGGGGAAACCCGGGCUAAUACCGCAUAACAUCGCGGGCCCUUCGGGACCUGCGAUCAAAGCUGGGGAUCUUCGGACCUAGCGCUCGAGGAGGAGCCUGCGCCCGAUUAGCUUGUUGGUGGGGUAACGGCCUACCAAGGCUCCGAUCGGUAGCCGGCCUGAGAGGGUGAACGGCCACACUGGGACUGAGACACGGCCCAGACUCCAACGGGAGGCAGCAGUGAGGAAUCAUGCGCAAUGGGGGCAACCCUGACGCUGCGACGCCGCGUGGACGAUGAAGGCUUUCGAGUCGUAAAGUCCUGUCGAGAGGGAAGAAAGUUUUCACGGUUAAUACCCGUGGAGAUUGACGGUACCUCUGGAGGAAGCCCCGGCUAACUCCGUGCCAGCAGCCGCGGUAACACGGAGGGGGCAAGCGUUGUUCGGAAUUACUGGGCGCAAAGAGCGCGUAGGCGGGAAUGUAAGUCGGGUGUGAAAGCCCUCGGCUCAACCGAGGAACUGCAUUCGAUACUGCAUUUCUUGAGUUCGGUAGGGGAUAGUGGAAUUCCUGGUGUAGCGGUGGAAUGCGUAGAUAUCAGGAGGAACACCGAUGGCGAAGGCGACUAUCUGGGCCGACACUGACGCUGAGGCGCGAAAGCUAGGGGAGCAAACAGGAUUAGAUACCCUGGUAGUCCUAGCCGUAAACGAUGGGUACUUGGUGUCGCGGGUCUCUACCCCCGCGGUGCCGGAGCUAACGCAUUAAGUACCCCGCCUGGGG
RNAcentral lists this ribosomal RNA (852 nucleotides) under uncultured marine bacterium. RNAcentral's name for it is "bacterial SSU rRNA". It matches the Rfam family "Bacterial small subunit ribosomal RNA", at positions 57 to 878 of the family's 1533-position model. The record is from RNAcentral.